RNAcentral lists this ribosomal RNA (2049 nucleotides) under Acinetobacter baumannii 44467_5. RNAcentral describes it as "bacterial LSU rRNA". It matches the Rfam family "Bacterial large subunit ribosomal RNA", at positions 3 to 2088 of the family's 2925-position model. Lineage: Bacteria; Pseudomonadati; Pseudomonadota; Gammaproteobacteria; Moraxellales; Moraxellaceae. The record is from RNAcentral.
UCAAGUAAUUAAGUGCAUGUGGUGGAUGCCUUGGCAGUCAGAGGCGAUGAAAGACGUGAUAGCCUGCGAAAAGCUCCGGGGAGGCGGCAAAUAUCCUUUGAUCCGGAGAUGUCUGAAUGGGGGAACCCACCUACUUUAAGGUAGGUAUUGCAACAUGAAUACAUAGUGUUGCAAGGCGAACGAGGGGAAGUGAAACAUCUCAGUACCCUUAGGAAAAGAAAUCAAUUGAGAUUCCCUCAGUAGCGGCGAGCGAACGGGGAUCAGCCCAUUAAGUUAUGUGUGUUUUAGUGGAACGCUCUGGGAAGUGCGAACGUAGAGGGUGAUAUUCCCGUACACGAAAGGGCACACAUAAUGAUGACGAGUAGGGCGAGGCACGUGAAACCUUGUCUGAAUAUGGGGGGACCAUCCUCCAAGGCUAAAUACUCCUGACUGACCGAUAGUGAACCAGUACCGUGAGGGAAAGGCGAAAAGAACCCCUGUGAGGGGAGUGAAAUAGAUCCUGAAACCGCAUGCAUACAAGCAGUGGGAGCACCUUCGUGGUGUGACUGCGUACCUUUUGUAUAAUGGGUCAGCGACUUAUAUUCAGUAGCGAGGUUAACCGUAUAGGGGAGCCGUAGAGAAAUCGAGUCUUAAUAGGGCGUUUAGUUGCUGGGUAUAGACCCGAAACCAGGCGAUCUAUCCAUGAGCAGGUUGAAGGUUGGGUAACACUAACUGGAGGACCGAACCCACUGUCGUUGAAAAGCCAGGGGAUGACUUGUGGAUAGGGGUGAAAGGCUAAUCAAGCCUGGUGAUAGCUGGUUCUCCCCGAAAGCUAUUUAGGUAGCGCCUCGGACGAAUACCAUAGGGGGUAGAGCACUGUUUCGGCUAGGGGGUCAUCCCGACUUACCAAACCGAUGCAAACUCCGAAUACCUAUGAGUACUAUCCGGGAGACAGACUGCGGGUGCUAACGUCCGUAGUCAAGAGGAAAACAAUCCAGACCGCCAGCUAAGGCCCCAAAAUCAUAGUUAAGUGGGAAACGAUGUGGGAAGGCAUAGACAGCUAGGAGGUUGGCUUAGAAGCAGCCACCCUUUAAAGAAAGCGUAAUAGCUCACUAGUCGAGUCGGCCUGCGCGGAAGAUGUAACGGGGCUAAAACUAUGUGCCGAAGCUGCGGAUGUAUACUUUGUAUACGUGGUAGGGGAGCGUUCUGUAAGCCGAUGAAGGUGUGUUGAGAAGCAUGCUGGAGGUAUCAGAAGUGCGAAUGCUGACGUGAGUAACGACAAAACGGGUGAAAAACCCGUUCGCCGAAAGACCAAGGGUUCCAGUCCAACGUUAAUCGGGGCUGGGUGAGUCGACCCCUAAGGCGAGGCCGAAAGGCGUAGUCGAUGGGAAAAUGGUUAAUAUUCCAUUACUUCUGUGUAAUGCGAUGAGAGGACGGAGAAGGCUAAAUCAGCCUGGCGUUGGUUGUCCAGGUGAAAGGAUGUAGGCAUGUAUCUUAGGCAAAUCCGGGGUACUCUAUGCUGAGAUCUGAUAGCAAGCUGUACUUGUACAGCGAAGUGGUUGAUGCCAUGCUUCCAGGAAAAGUCUCUAAGCUUCAGUUACACAGGAAUCGUACCCGAAACCGACACAGGUGGUCAGGUCGAGUAGACCAAGGCGCUUGAGAGAACUCUGCUGAAGGAACUAGGCAAAAUGGUACCGUAACUUCGGGAGAAGGUACGCUGUUGUUGGUGAUGGAACUCGCUUCCUGAGCUGACGACAGCCGCAGAAACCAGGCCGCUGCAACUGUUUAUUAAAAACAUAGCACUCUGCAAACACGAAAGUGGACGUAUAGGGUGUGAUGCCUGCCCGGUGCUGGAAGGUUAAUUGAUGGGGUUAGCGUAAGCGAAGCUCUUGAUCGAAGCCCCAGUAAACGGCGGCCGUAACUAUAACGGUCCUAAGGUAGCGAAAUUCCUUGUCGGGUAAGUUCCGACCUGCACGAAUGGCAUAAUGAUGGCGGCGCUGUCUCCAGCAGAGGCUCAGUGAAAUCGAAAUCGCUGUGAAGAUGCAGUGUACCCGCGGCUAGACGGAAAGA